RNAcentral lists this ribosomal RNA (468 nucleotides) under uncultured bacterium. RNAcentral's name for it is "partial 16S ribosomal RNA". It matches the Rfam family "Bacterial small subunit ribosomal RNA", at positions 28 to 507 of the family's 1533-position model. The record is from RNAcentral.
GACGAACGCUGGCGGCGUGCUUAACACAUGCAAGUCGAACGGAAAGGCCCUGCUUUUGUGGGGUUCUCGAGUGGCGAACGGGUGAGUAACACGUGAGUAACCUGCCCUUGACUUUGGGAUAACUUCAGGAAACUGGGGCUAAUACCGGAUAUGAGCUCCUGCUGCAUGGGGGGGGUUGGAAAGUUUCGGCGGUUGGGGAUGGACUCGCGGCUUAUCAGCUUGUUUGUGGGGUAGUGGCUUACCAAGGCUUUGACGGGUAGGCGGCCUGAGAGGGUUAACGGCCACAUUGGGACUGAGAUACGGCCCAGACUCCUACGGGAGGCAGCAGUGGGGAAUAUUGCACAAUGGGCGGAAGCCUGAUGCAGCAACGCCGCGUGCGGGAUGACGGCCUUCGGGUUGUAAACCGCUUUCGCCUGUGACGAAGCGUGAGUGACGGUAAUGGGUAAAGAAGCACCGGCUAACUACGUG